AUUGAACGCUGGCGGCAGGCCUAACACAUGCAAGUCGAGCGACCGGCGGACGGGUGAGUACUGUAUGGGGACUGCCCGAUAGAGGGGGAUAACUGCUGGAAACGGUAGCUAAUACUGCAUCCUAUCGGAUAACCUAUGGGGGAUUAGCUAGUAGGUGAGGUAAUGGCUCACACAGGCGACGAUCCCUAGCUGGUCUGAGAGGAUGAUCAGCCACACUGGAACUGAGACACGGCCCAGACUCCUACGGAGGCAGCAGUGGGGAAUAUUGCACAAUGGGCGCAAGCCUGAUGCAGCCAUGCCGCGUGUGUGAAGAAGGCCUUAGGGUUGUAAAGUACUGUCAGUCGGGAGGCGUUACCGACAGAAUAAGCACCGGCUAACUCCGUGCCAGCAGCCGCGGUAAUAC
RNAcentral lists this ribosomal RNA (403 nucleotides) under uncultured bacterium. RNAcentral describes it as "partial 16S ribosomal RNA". It matches the Rfam family "Bacterial small subunit ribosomal RNA", at positions 30 to 526 of the family's 1533-position model. The record is from RNAcentral.